AACGAACGCUGGCGGCAUGCCUAACACAUGCAAGUCGAACGAGAUCCUUCGGGGUCUAGUGGCGCACGGGUGCGUAACGCGUGGGAAUCUACCCUUGGGUUCGGAAUAACAGUUAGAAAUGACUGCUAAUACCGGAUGAUGACGAAAGUCCAAAGAUUUAUCGCCCAAGGAUGAGCCCGCGUAGGAUUAGGUAGUUGGUGGGGUAAAGGCCUACCAAGCCGACGAUCCUUAGCUGGUCUGAGAGGAUGAUCAGCCACACUGGGACUGAGACACGGCCCAGACUCCUACGGGAGGCAGCAGUGGGGAAUAUUGGACAAUGGGCGAAAGCCUGAUCCAGCAAUGCCGCGUGAGUGAUGAAGGCCUUAGGGUUGUAAAGCUCUUUUAC
RNAcentral lists this ribosomal RNA (385 nucleotides) under uncultured bacterium. RNAcentral's name for it is "bacterial SSU rRNA". It matches the Rfam family "Bacterial small subunit ribosomal RNA", at positions 29 to 439 of the family's 1533-position model. The record is from RNAcentral.